CCUACGGGAGGCAGCAGUAAGGAGUAUUGGACAAUGCCCGCAAGGGUGAUCCAGCCAUGCCGCGUGCAGGAAGAAGGCCCUAUGGGUCGUAAACUGCUUUUACACCGGAGAAAACCUCCCUUCGUGAAGGGAGCUGAUAGUAUGGUGAGAAUAAGCAUCGGCUAACUUCGUGCCAGCAGCCGCGGUAAGACGAAGGAUGCAAGCGUUAUCCGGAUUCAUUGGGUUUAAAGGGAGCGUAGGUGGACUGAUAAGUCAGUGGUGAAAUCUUCGAGCUUAACUCGGAAAUUGCCAUUGAUACUGUUAGUCUUGAGUACAGUUGCUGUGGGCGGAAUAUGACAUGUAGUGGUGAAAUACAUAGAGAUGUCAUAGAACACCGAUUGCGAAGGCAGCUCACAAAGACUGUAACUGACACUGAGGCUCGAAAGUAGCGGGGAGUCAAACAGAUUAGAUACCUGUAGUCGCACUGUAAACGAAUGAUUACUCGCUGCUAGAGGGGCGAACUUUUAAGUUAGGUCGUUAGUCGAAAGACGAUAAAGAAAUUACCACCCUGGGGAGGUACGGCCGGCGAACGGUAGGAAACGUUAAAAGGUAAAGUUAGUAAGGACGUUAGAGAGACGGACGACGGACGACACGACGGGAGGAGGAG
This 646-nucleotide ribosomal RNA is filed under the name uncultured bacterium. Its description in RNAcentral is "bacterial SSU rRNA". The stretch from base 1 to 544 matches the Rfam family "Bacterial small subunit ribosomal RNA", at positions 338 to 873 of the family's 1533-position model. The record is from RNAcentral.